This 194-nucleotide antisense RNA is filed under the name uncultured Enterobacter sp. RNAcentral describes it as "Yersinia sRNA 276". It matches the Rfam family "Yersinia sRNA 276". Lineage: Bacteria; Pseudomonadati; Pseudomonadota; Gammaproteobacteria; Enterobacterales; Enterobacteriaceae. The record is from RNAcentral.
ACCGACAUCAGGGAUUCGUUUUGCGACCCGUUGCCCACCGCCAGGUAAGAGUGCAUACCCAGCUCGCGCAUCUGCUGUUCGCCAAUCACGCGGGUGACGACGUUCUUGCUGUAGGCAUCCGCCAGCUGGCGCGCCUGGGAGGCGAGAUAGGCGGCGUUGCAGAUAUUGGGCGGCAUAUUGCCCAGAUCUUUUGC